Molecule: ribosomal RNA, 458 nt
Filed under: uncultured bacterium
Lineage: Bacteria
Description: partial 16S ribosomal RNA
Rfam family: Bacterial small subunit ribosomal RNA
Source: RNAcentral
CCUACGGGGGGCAGCAGUGGGGAAUAUUGCACAAUGGGGGAAACCCUGAUGCAGCGACGCCGCGUGAGUGAAGAAGUAAUUCGUUACGUAAAGCUCUAUCAGCAGGGAAGAAACACUGACCUUACGGUCAGCAGACGGUACCUGAGUAAGACGCCCCGGCUAACUCCGUGCCAGCAGCCGCGGUAAUACGUAGGGGGCAAGCGUUAUCCGGAUUUACUGGGUGUAAAGGGAGCGUAGACGGUGCGCCAAGUCUGGAGUGAAAUGCCGCAGCUUAACUGCGGAACUGCUUUGGAAACUGGCGAACUAGAGUGCGGGAGGGGUAAGCGGAAUUCCUAGUGUAGCGGUGAAAUGCGUAGAUAUUAGGAGGAACACCGGUGGCGAAGGCGGCUUACUGGACCGUAACUGACGUUGAGGCUCGAAAGCGUGGGGAGCAAACAGGAUUAGAUACCCGGGUAGUC